UUCUCAGAACGUGGGCUUAGUCACAAGACAGCUGUAUCCUGGUCCUAAUAUUAUAACACCUCGGAGCCAAAACAGCCACGUUCCACAAAAUCCGGCUCUUCCAUUUAGCGAAAAGACUCGCUGCCCUCAUUUUUCUCUUCCGGAAACCGUGGAGGCUAGGAAGUAAGACAGCAUGUGUCUGGGGAAGGUCUUGGCACUCCAAAUGAACAAGUAGUUGUACUCACCCACUUCAUCAGCCUUUUUGUUUCAAGACAGUACCUUGCUGGAUUGGAAGUGCUUCUGAAGAUGAGGAAGAGUAUAUGAAAAAGUUGGGCUGAUCCUGUGGAAAACAAUUGGGAGACUCAUUCAAUCAGCGUUCUCAGCACCCAGCAAGCAACUCACUGACUACCACUGUUGGAUUGAUUGAUUGAAACCUCCAGAUUUUCCUCAACAAGCUGUGAAGGUUUGGCCUCGAUCAUGCAGCCAUUAGGAUGGACACUGCCCGGCUCAAAGUUUUCAGAUAUCUGCUCAAGUGGUAUCCUAUGGGGAUCUGCUCAGGGGCCAGUCUUACUCAAAAUCUUCGUCGAUGACCUGGGCAGUGGAAUGAAGGGGAUGUUUAUCAAGUGUGUUCUUAACGUAAAUUCUAGAAGGAAGAUGAUUUUGGUUUGGCCUAGGGAGGCUCUUCUUGACUGUUAGGGUGAUAGCAUAUUGGAAUAGAGCUGCCGAAUGGAACAAAGAUACUAUUAAAGAAGAAUAUUCCAACUUCAGUU
Long non-coding RNA from Ornithorhynchus anatinus (platypus), 749 nucleotides. RefSeq lists it as uncharacterized. The transcript has 4 exons. NCBI's taxonomy places the organism in Eukaryota, Metazoa, Chordata, Mammalia, Monotremata, Ornithorhynchidae. The record is from RefSeq and is a predicted model, not a curated record.